CGGGGUGUAGCGCAGUUGGUAGCGCGCAUCGUUCGGGACGAUGAGGCCGCCGGUUCGAGUCCGGCUACCCCGACCA
RNAcentral lists this transfer RNA (76 nucleotides) under Minisyncoccota bacterium. RNAcentral's name for it is "tRNA-Pro". It matches the Rfam family "tRNA". Rfam says of the family: Transfer RNA (tRNA) molecules are approximately 80 nucleotides in length. Their secondary structure includes four short double-helical elements and three loops (D, anti-codon, and T loops). Lineage: Bacteria; Bacillati; Minisyncoccota. The record is from RNAcentral.